AGUGAUGCUGUUCCCUGUGCUCUCUCUCCGCUCAUACCUGAGAUAUAUCAUGGAGCAGCCAUCUCAACCUGGUGAUCCUGCCCUUUCACAGAGACCCUAUGCAGGGUGGCUGUACCCUCCCAUGGCACUCUCAGCACUGGUUUGGAUCAUUUUCUCAUUUGAAGCAACAGACAGAGUGGUACACUUACCCAGUCUUCCCAGUUUGCCCUGCGGUUGGAUGUGGCCUGAGACUGGUUCUGCUGAUGGAUGAUGACGGGAGGUGACCUGCAUCCCUCCCAGGUCUGGCCGCCAUGCUCUUUCCCUUCUCUGGGUCACUGACACGAUGAUGCUCAGGACAACCUUGAAAGCCACACGUUGAAGAUGGAGGAAUCGCUAUCAACCUGGGUGCUCUGACAACCGAACAUGUCCUCUGGACUGUUAUGUGUGCAAGAAAGAACUUCUGUUGCGUUCAAGCCAUUAUAUUCUGGGUCUAUUUGUCACCCCAGUUUAGCCUAUUCCAACAGACAUACUCUUCUGACCAUUUGGUUAUCCCAGGCCUAUGUUCAAUGACACAGAUGACUUCUCUGAAGCCAACCACUGUGCCUGAAUCCAGCAAAGAAAACCAGAGAUGUAGAGAAAGCAGCCAGCGAAGGACAACCAGGAGGAGGUACCUGCACGGCUCUGCCAUUGACGUCUGAGCCAACGGAGGCUGCUGUGGCAAUUGUGUUAGGCACCGUGGCUGUACUGGUUUCACAGAUGUGCAUGUAGGACAUGGGUAUUUUUAAUUCACGGCUGGCCACCUAUGGAAAAAGAAAUAAUUUCAAGUCUGGUAAGGACUUCUGUGAAGAUUUGAGUCAUUAUUUUUCUUAGUUAAGAAAUGACUAUUUUUAAAAUUAUAUCCACAGUAUCCUUUAAAACUUAAGAUAGUGUGUCAUAAUUAUCAAAACCACUUUUUAGUAGGGCCUCAUGCUGAUUUUUCAAGUAUUUUCUUGGUAAUAUUUCACAGUAGUUCUUCCAUUCAAAUUGAUUGCGUUUAGGAUGUUAAGGAUUUCCUUUUUCUAUAAAUUUACAGGUGUAGAGAGUAGGCCAAGUUGAGAUUACUUGGUGGUAGUGGCAGGAAGAGAGACAGAAAUUAGAUGGACUGACUCAGAGUCUGGUCUUAAAUCUGCUGGUGUUGGUAUCUGACGAUCUUGGAGUGACUCUGAGGGCCUGUCUUCUUUCUUGCCCUCAUUCCCACCUUAACUUGAGCUCCCUCUUUUCUUCUAUUUGUUCCCACUUGCUUGUACUCCUUUAGUAAGUGCUGUUCAUUUUUUUCUUUUCUGCUUUUUUCCUUCCAGUUUCUCUAGCAGACUUAUGCGGAAAUUAAGAUAUUUGAUCGAGAAGAAAUGAAAAAGAAAGAAAGUGAGGGGAGGAAAGAAAAGAAAAAAAGCAUUAUUUUUGCUGCUGAUGUCUUUUGGUUUUUGCAGAGACACUUUCUGUAGAUGUCUGCAGGUAUGUACCUGUUCCCAAAUGCCAGUCUUCAGAUGAAUGCUGUUCAGUGAUCAAGUUUCCCCAGAAAGAUGCAAAA
Non-coding RNA from Vicugna pacos (alpaca), 1546 nucleotides. Lineage: Eukaryota; Metazoa; Chordata; Mammalia; Artiodactyla; Camelidae. The record is from RefSeq and is a predicted model, not a curated record.